GCGGGAUUGGCGGAAUUGGCAGACGCGCUAGGCUUAGAACCUAGUGGAGAGAUCCGUGUGGGUUCAAGUCCCUCAUCCCGCA
Molecule: transfer RNA, 82 nt
Filed under: Bradymonadales bacterium
Lineage: Bacteria; Deltaproteobacteria; Bradymonadales
Description: tRNA-Leu
Rfam family: tRNA
About the family: Transfer RNA (tRNA) molecules are approximately 80 nucleotides in length. Their secondary structure includes four short double-helical elements and three loops (D, anti-codon, and T loops).
Source: RNAcentral